This 489-nucleotide ribosomal RNA is filed under the name Triticum aestivum (bread wheat). RNAcentral describes it as "partial small subunit ribosomal RNA". The record is from RNAcentral. Lineage: Eukaryota; Viridiplantae; Streptophyta; Magnoliopsida; Poales; Poaceae.
AUGCAAUGGCAGUGGGACAAACAUCAAUCACGGGACAAAAAUUCACAACGUAUUUUUAUGUUGCCUCGUCCCCUUUCUGAAACAAUAUUAUGUGAGGUUAAUCAUGGCUGGUAUUUCGACACUCUCAAACUAUUUGCGAUUCAGGCUGUACAAUUUGCAACAGAGAUUCAUUACUCAGAUUCCGGUCUAUUUGGUAGUGUAUCAUUCGCCUUUGGGCAUAAACAAAUGUUUUGCUGGACUCCAGAUACAUCAGCUAGUGGCGACCACCUUGAGCAAUUGUGGGAUCCAGGAGGCCUUGCAAGCUAUAUAUGCAGUACAUGUGCAUUGACUUCCCUGAUGCAUUACUUGUUUGCAGUCUGGCUUGCAUAUGCGACUCCUAUAUGCAUCCAGUUGGGAAUGGAGAAGCCAAUGGCCAGCGGCGAAAUAAAUCAGGGGAUGACCAUCCAUUUCUUUCCUGGAACAUUGGAGCUUGAAUGCAGACUUGACUAG